RNAcentral lists this small nuclear RNA (105 nucleotides) under Moschus moschiferus (Siberian musk deer). Lineage: Eukaryota; Metazoa; Chordata; Mammalia; Artiodactyla; Moschidae. The record is from RNAcentral.
AUGCUUGCUUCAGCAGCAUAUAUACUAAAAUUGAAAUGAUACAGAGAUUAGCAUGGCCCCCUAGGCAAGGAUGACAUGCAAAUUCGUGAAGUGUUCCAUAUUUUU